This 506-nucleotide ribosomal RNA is filed under the name Shigella sonnei. Its description in RNAcentral is "partial 23S ribosomal RNA". It matches the Rfam family "Bacterial large subunit ribosomal RNA", at positions 1285 to 1786 of the family's 2925-position model. The record is from RNAcentral. Lineage: Bacteria; Pseudomonadati; Pseudomonadota; Gammaproteobacteria; Enterobacterales; Enterobacteriaceae.
GAAGUGCGAAUGCUGACAUAAGUAACGAUAAAGCGGGUGAAAAGCCCGCUCGCCGGAAGACCAAGGGUUCCUGUCCAACGUUAAUCGGGGCAGGGUGAGUCGACCCCUAAGGCGAGGCCGAAAGGCGUAGUCGAUGGGAAACAGGUUAAUAUUCCUGUACUUGGUGUUACUGCGAAGGGGGGACGGAGAAGGCUAUGUUGGCCGGGCGACGGUUGUCCCGGUUUAAGCGUGUAGGCUGGUUUUCCAGGCAAAUCCGGAAAAUCAAGGCUGAGGCGUGAUGACGAGGCACUACGGUGCUGAAGCAACAAAUGCCCUGCUUCCAGGAAAAGCCUCUAAGCAUCAGGUAACAUCAAAUCGUACCCCAAACCGACACAGGUGGUCAGGUAGAGAAUACCAAGGCGCUUGAGAGAACUCGGGUGAAGGAACUAGGCAAAAUGGUGCCGUAACUUCGGGAGAAGGCACGCUGAUAUGUAGGUGAAGUCCCUUGCGGAUGGAGCUGAAAUCAG